UUGGUGGUGAAGAAGAGGUGAAGAAUGUAUAAAGGCAAGUAUUUGCCUCUCACUAAGAUCCUGUGAAGAGAAGAUACACACGAAUUCCUAUUUUAGUCUGGAUCAGAAGAAAAUUUCCCUGGUGGCAGCAGCCCCGAUACUGAAAAGCAUCUUGCAUUCAUGCUCCUCACUGUCCCUCUGAGAUUCAAUCUCACAUGGAAGAGGAUCCUGCCCUGGAAGACCUGGAGUAGGAAGCUGUGCUAUGGGCAUUAAAUAUCAAUGCACUCUCACAGAAGCUGCUCUGUGGACACAGACUUCCUGUGUGGGUCAUCCUGGGUUUCUUCCUCCUAGGAAUGGGGAUCACAAGGAGAGCAAGGAGACCAAGCAGGAGACCAAGCCAGUGAAGACCGCCAGGAACACCCACCAGCCUCCAGCUUGGCCGCGUGGGCCCCUGCAGCAAUAGCGCACCCCGCUGGCUGUCCAGCUACUUGGAUCCACACCACAGAGGCACAAGGAAGCAUAAAGGCCAUUGUCCUGAGCUGCAGAAGUGAACAACAGAGAGAGGGCCUCUCUCAGGCUCCCUGAUGAAAACUGAAGCCCACUAGAAAGUGAAGAGAACCUCUGCAAUAAAGGCACACCAGACCACCAUGCUUGGUAAGUUGGAGGGAUCAUCACCUCCCAUCGGAACCUGGACUAUCUUCAGGGGAAAGGCAUCUGGAACCUGCGGUAGAACCUUCCAUGGUUCAUCCCUGCAGGAGGACAGGGAGCUCAACUUUGGACUUGCAGCCAGAAAUCUGCCUGAAUCUCACAGGUCUGUGACUGGUUUGAGUAUCGCCUCAAUGUGGACCCACUUAGCUAUAAAUGUCUCUAAUUUCUCAUUUGUUAUGGCUGAGUAGUACUCCAUUUUAUAUAUAUAUUAAAAAAAAAAACACCUUUUCUUUAUCCAGUCUCCAGUUGAUGGGCAUUUGGGCUGUUUCCAAGUUUUAGCUAUCACAAACUCUGCUGCUAUGAACACAGGUGCACAUAUAUCACUGUGGUAUGAUUCAUUUAAUUCUUUG
RNAcentral lists this long non-coding RNA (1037 nucleotides) under Heterocephalus glaber (naked mole-rat). Its description in RNAcentral is "lncRNA (ENSHGLG00100045637.1)". The record is from RNAcentral. Lineage: Eukaryota; Metazoa; Chordata; Mammalia; Rodentia; Bathyergidae.